This 422-nucleotide ribosomal RNA is filed under the name uncultured bacterium. RNAcentral's name for it is "bacterial SSU rRNA". It matches the Rfam family "Bacterial small subunit ribosomal RNA", at positions 355 to 775 of the family's 1533-position model. The record is from RNAcentral.
UAGGGAAUAUUGGUCAAUGGAUGGAAGUCUGAACCAGCCAUGCCGCGUGCAGGAAGAAGGCCUUCUGGGUUGUAAACUGCUUUUGCCAGGGGAUAAAAGACCCAUGCGUGGGAAAUUGAAGGUACCUGGUGAAUAAGCCACGGCUAACUACGUGCCAGCAGCCGCGGUAAUACGUAGGUGGCAAGCGUUGUCCGGAUUUAUUGGGUUUAAAGGGUGCGUAGGCGGCCUAUUAAGUCAGUGGUGAAAUAUCUCAGCUCAACUGAGAGUGUGCCAAUGAUACUGAUGGGCUUGAGUACAGAUGAGGUAGGCGGAAUUGACGGUGUAGCGGUGAAAUGCUUAGAUAUCGUCAAGAACACCUAUAGCGAAGGCAGCUUACUAGGCUGUAACUGACGCUGAGGCACGAAAGUGUGGGGAUCAAACAG